This 386-nucleotide ribosomal RNA is filed under the name uncultured organism. Its description in RNAcentral is "partial 16S ribosomal RNA". It matches the Rfam family "Bacterial small subunit ribosomal RNA", at positions 527 to 896 of the family's 1533-position model. The record is from RNAcentral.
GUAGGUGGCAAGCGUUGUCCGGAAUUAUUGGGCGUAAAGCGCGCGCAGGUGGUUCUUUAAGUCUGAUGUGAAAGCCCCCGGCUCAACCGGGAGGGUCAGUUGGAAACUGGGGAAACUUGAGUGCAGGAGAGGAAAGUGGAAUUCCACGUGUAGCGGUGAAAUGACGUAGAUAUGUGGAGGAACACCAGUGGCGAAGGCGACUUUCUGGUCCUGUAACUGACACUGAGGCGCGAAAGCGUAGGGGAGCGAAACAGGAAUUAGGAUACCCUGGUACGUCCACGCCGUAAACGAUGAGUGCUAAGUGUUAGGGGGGGUUUCCCGCCCCCGUUCACGUGCUGCAGCUAACGCAUUAAGCACUCCGCCUGGGGAGUACGGUCGCAAGACUG